UCACGGGGUGCUGGGGGGGGGGCCCUGCACUGACCCCCUCCCCCCCCCCGGGGGCACCCCACUUCCCAGGACACCCUGCCCCCGCCGGGGUCCCCCCUGUCCCAGGACCCGGCACCCACGUGGGGGCCCCUGGAGGAGCCGGGUGACGAGGGGCCGGAGAUGGCCGAGGGGACGUGGACGGCCGAGGAGGAGACGUGGAUGGUCGAGGAGGGGACGUGGACAGCCGAGGUGGGGACACAGACGGCCGAGGAGGGGACAUGGGUGGCCCAGAGAGCCCAGAUGGCCGAGGAGGGGACACAGACGAACGAGGAGGGGACAUCGAUGGCCCAGAGAGCCCAGAUGGUCGAGGUGGGGACACAGACGGCCGAGGAGGGGACACGGGGUCGAGAAGGGGAUGUGGACAGCCAAGAGAGCCCAGAUGGCCGAGGUGGGGACACAGACGAACAAGGAGGAGACAUGGAUGGCGGAGAGACCCCAAAUGGCUGAGGUGGGGACACAGAUGGCCGAGGAGGGGACAUGGACGGCCAAGAGAGCCAAGAUGGCCGAGGAGGGGACACAGACGGCCAAGGAGGGGACGUGGAUGGCCGAGAGAGCCCAGAUGGCCGAGGUGGGGACACAGACGGCCGAGGAGAAGUCAGAGAUGGCCGAGGAGGGGAUGCAGAUGGCCAAGGAGGGGACAUGGAUGGCCGAGAGAGCCCAGAUGGUCGAGGAGGGGACAUGGAUGGUGGAGAGAGCCCAGGUGGCCAAGGAGGGGACACAGACGGCCGAGGAGGGGACGUGGACGGCCGAGAGAGCCCAGGUGGCCGAGGAGGGGACACAGACAGCCGAGGAGGGGACAGAGAUGGCCAAGGAGGGGACAUGGACAGCCGAGAGAGCCCAGAUGGUCGAGGAGGGGACACAGACGGCCGAGGAGAGAACAUGGAUGGCCGAGAGAGCCCAGAUGGCCGAGGAGGGGACACAGACGGCUGAGGAGGGGAUGUGGACGGUCGAGAGAGCCCAGAUGGUCAAGGUGAUGACACAGAUGGCUGAGGAGGGGACACAGACGACCGAGGAGAGAACAUGGGUGGCCGAGAGAGCCCAAAUGGUCGAGGUGAUGACACAGACGGCUGAGGAGGGGACACAGAUGGCCAAGGAGGGGACAUGGAUGGCCAAGAGAGCCCAGAUGGCCAAGGUGGGGACACAGAUGUCCGAGGAGGAGACGUGGAUGGUUGAGAGAGCCCAGAUGGUCGAGAUGGGGACACAGACGGUCGAGGAGGGGACGUGGAUGGCUGAGAGAGCCCAGGUGGCCGAGGAGGGGACACAGACGGCCAAGGAGGGGACACGGAUGGCUGAAGAGGGGAUGGAGAUGGCCGAGUGGGCCUGGGUGGCCGAGGAGGGGACGGAGGUGGCCAAGGAGGGGACGCGGAUGUCUGAGCGGGCCCGAACCAUCUUGCGCAAGGUAACAGGGUGCCGUGGGGCAGGACUGGGGGGGGGGAACGAGACAU
RNAcentral lists this long non-coding RNA (1484 nucleotides) under Apteryx owenii (little spotted kiwi). Its description in RNAcentral is "lncRNA (ENSAOWG00000007343.1)". Lineage: Eukaryota; Metazoa; Chordata; Aves; Apterygiformes; Apterygidae. The record is from RNAcentral.